ACUCCUGCGGGAGGCAGCAGUGGGGAAUAUUGCACAAUGGGCGCAAGCCUGAUGCAGCCAUGCCGCGUGUAUGAAGAAGGCCUUCGGGUUGUAAAGUACUUUCAGCGGGGAGGAAGGCGAUAAGGUUAAUAACCUUGUCGAUUGACGUUACCCGCAGAAGAAGCACCGGCUAACUCCGUGCCAGCAGCCGCGGUAAUACGGAGGGUGCAAGCGUUAAUCGGAAUUACUGGGCGUAAAGCGCACGCAGGCGGUCUGUCAAGUCGGAUGUGAAAUCCCCGGGCUCAACCUGGGAACUGCAUGCGAAACUGGCAGGCUAGAGUCUUGUAGAGGGGGGUAGAAUUCCAGGUGUAGCGGUGAAAUGCGUAGAGAUCUGGAGGAAUACCGGUGGCGAAGGCGGCCCCCUGGACAAAGACUGACGCUCAGGUGCGAAAGCGUGGGGAGCAAACAGGAUUAGAUACCCGUGUAGUCCCA
Molecule: ribosomal RNA, 471 nt
Filed under: uncultured organism
Description: partial 16S ribosomal RNA
Rfam family: Bacterial small subunit ribosomal RNA
Source: RNAcentral